UGUUAACAGGCAACACACAGUAGGG
This 25-nucleotide unclassified non-coding RNA is filed under the name Mus musculus (house mouse). Its description in RNAcentral is "oocyte_clustered_small_RNA13500". The record is from RNAcentral. Lineage: Eukaryota; Metazoa; Chordata; Mammalia; Rodentia; Muridae.